RNAcentral lists this ribosomal RNA (34 nucleotides) under Streptomyces coelicolor. Lineage: Bacteria; Bacillati; Actinomycetota; Actinomycetes; Kitasatosporales; Streptomycetaceae. The record is from RNAcentral.
GGCCAAGUUUUUAAGGGCGCACGGUGGAUGCCUU